Temnothorax curvispinosus is the source of this 1594-nucleotide long non-coding RNA. RefSeq lists it as uncharacterized. The record is from RefSeq and is a predicted model, not a curated record. The transcript has 3 exons. Lineage: Eukaryota; Metazoa; Arthropoda; Insecta; Hymenoptera; Formicidae.
UUUUGCCCAAUCAUAAAUAGGGCUAUUGUGGGGGGAUGGUUGUAUGCCCGUGGCGCAUUUCAUACAUCCGAGUGUAAUGGUAACCAGAUAGAGAGGCGCCGCGCGCGGGGACCAUCGGCCGGCGUUAACACCCGCGUGGGAGGCGGUGCUAAGCUGCUGCUACGCGCGUGAACCUUCAUUCGAUCGGUAAGGUGGAGAUCGGCGGUGGCCCGGCCUUGCGGUGGACGAGAGGGAGAGCACUGGCGGGGGAUGAUUCCAGCGUAAUGACGAUCGGCCCGAAUUGUUGCGGAAGACGUGGCUUACGACGACUGGUGCGAAGGUAAAAUGAUCCACGAGGAGGAGAACAUCCGCGAGUCUCUCACAUUUGAGGAGAUACAGAUCGAAAGUUGAGCUAUUCUGACGACUCGAGCGGUAUAGAUCCGCGUGGAAACAACUUUGCGAGAGUGAUAAUGGGGCAUCGCGAUAUGAAAUAUCUUGGGACGAGCAAAAUUCGACAUACGAAACGCGCAUAAUUCUCGUUCGGAAGUUUUCAGAAGAGUGCUAAGAGAGGGAAAUGAAGGAGGAAGAGAGAAUUUUAGGGAGAUAAUCUUUCAUGUCGCGUGACACUUUCUUCCGCAUCGUUAUCCCCGCUUCGAGCACGCUUCGAGACGUUUGACCUCGUAACUCGAAUUACUCGAGAUCGAAUUACUUACCCCCGACCCCCGAUGGUCUAUUGCCUCUUGACGUGCUUCUGAAAAUGUCUUCGCCCAACGAGAUCCCUCGGAAAAAUAAUUACGAAAUUGCUUGGGGAAACAUAAUCGACAAAAAAUGAGCAUCGUGCAUUAUUUACAAAUAGAUUUGAUACAUACGUUUAAAUAUUUCUUAACGAUUUAAUUAAAUGCAGCUCGAUAUAGAAAGCGCAUGUAGAUAACGAUUUUAUAUAUAGAUAACAAAUACUCGGCACGCUUGAAAAUUGCACGUAAGUAUUGAUUCGAGGGCCACCACUAAUCUCUCUCUCUUCUCGCUCCCUACCCUUCACCCUUUUUAUACCGUGCAGUCCAUACAAACAUAAUGAGGCACUCGAGCACUGUUUCCAAGCGAUUCAAUCUUUAUUAGGUUCAGAGUAUAUUUCUAAUUUUAUAUUCGACUUCUCCGCACGUAAUCUCACUGACAAUCCAAUAAUAUACCGAUACCUCGUAAAUACACCAAAUACUGGGGCGAUUUCUGAAACUGAGUUUUAUCAGUUUUAUACUUCACACGUGAAAUUAUAUCUUAAAAAAACGAACAAAAAAAAUUGGCUUGUCCCAAUUUAAUCGUGAACUCUCGAAUCAACGAUCAAUUCCACCGAUACAAAAUGUAUAGUGAAUAAAAAUAGUAUAUUUGCACGUCUCCUAUAUCUCUUGGAAAUUAUUCCAUCCGAAAGAAAGAUAUCGCUGGACAAUGGUUUUUAUCGGAAAGCACGCUUUUUUUACGUGUAACACUUUUUUACAUCAUAUUAAUUUCGAAGCCAACGUGCACGUGUUUGUGUGCGAAUACUUUUUUUAUUCAUUGUAAAACAGAUAUAGAUUAUAUCCUACGAACCGAUCCCACAGAUCCUAUCAACAGGCAAUCGUAA